Molecule: non-coding RNA, 218 nt
Organism: Pelobates cultripes (western spadefoot toad)
Lineage: Eukaryota; Metazoa; Chordata; Amphibia; Anura; Pelobatidae
Source: the annotation of a GenBank genome assembly
AGACACGUACACACACCUUGACACAUGCACACACGCUGACACACAGAUACACACACUGACGUAUACAUACACACACACAAUCUGACAUAUAUAUACACAUGUAUGUUAUAAUUUUUAUAUUUGCAACCACCCUCCUAGCUUACUUGCUUGGAAUCCUGGUGAUGCGGGCUGAAGCUUACUGGAGUGAGAAUACCUCUCUUCCCCAAGCUGCCUGUGUG